Molecule: transfer RNA, 87 nt
Filed under: Thiemannella venezuelensis
Lineage: Bacteria; Bacillati; Actinomycetota; Actinomycetes; Streptosporangiales; Streptosporangiaceae
Description: Planomonospora venezuelensis tRNA-Ala
Source: RNAcentral
CCGCCGGUCGCGGAGGCGGUCACGACGCCGCCUUGCGCGCGGCGGCGAGCCGUACCGCGUCGAGGAUCUUCUCGUAGCCGGUGCACC